Molecule: ribosomal RNA, 1256 nt
Filed under: Clostridium perfringens
Lineage: Bacteria; Bacillati; Bacillota; Clostridia; Eubacteriales; Clostridiaceae
Description: partial 23S ribosomal RNA
Rfam family: Bacterial large subunit ribosomal RNA
Source: RNAcentral
AACAUAAAAGUGGAGGCUAUUGUAACUGAAGAGAACUGGAAAGUUCCACCGUAGAAGGUAAUAGUCCUGUAAGUGAAACGAGAAGACCACGAGUUAUGAUCCAGAGUACCACGAGACACGUGAAACCUUGUGGGAAGCAGGGAGGACCACCUCCCAAGGCUAAAUACUACCUGAUGACCGAUAGUGAAGCAGUACCGUGAGGGAAAGGUGAAAAGAACCCCGGGAGGGGAGUGAAAUAGAACCUGAAACCGUGUGCCUACAACCGCUCAGAGCCCCUUAUGAGGGUGAUGAGGUGCUUUUUGUAGAACGAGCCAACGAGUUACGGUAUGUAGCAAGGUUAAGUACUUAAGGUACGGAGCCGAAGGGAAACCGAGUCUGAAUAGGGCGACUAGUUGCAUGCCGUAGACCCGAAACCGGGUGACCUAUCCAUGGCCAGGUUGAAGCGAGGGUAAAACCUCGUGGAGGACCGAACCACGUUGCUGUUGAAAAAGCAUGGGAUGAGCUGUGGAUAGCGGAGAAAUUCCAAUCGAACCCGGAGAUAGCUGGUUCUCUCCGAAAUAGCUUUAGGGCUAGCGUCGAGUAUGAGUAGUGGAGGUAGAGCACUGAAUGGGCUAGGGGGCAUAGCGCUUACCGAACCUUAUCAAACUCCGAAUGCCACAUACUUUGAGCUCGGCAGUCAGACUACGAAUGAUAAGAUCCGUGGUCAAAAGGGAAACAGCCCAGAUCGUCAGCUAAGGUCCCAAAGUGUAAGUUAAGUGGGAAAGGAUGUGAGAUUUCUAAGACAACUAGGAUGUUGGCUUAGAAGCAGCCAUUCAUUAAAAGAGUGCGUAAUAGCUCACUAGUCGAGAGAUCUUGCGCCGAAAAUGUAACGGGGCUAAACUUACCACCGAAGCUACGGGCUUGAACUUAGUUCAAGCGGUAGGAGAGCGUCGUAACCGGGCUGAAGUCGUACCGUAAGGAGCGGUGGACUGGUUACGAGUGAGAAUGUUGGCAUCAGUAGCGAGAUGUGGGUGAGAAUCCCACAGGCCGAAAACCUAAGGUUUCCUCAGGAAGGUUCGUCCGCUGAGGGUUAGUCGGGACCUAAGCCGAGGCCGAAAGGCGUAGGUGAUGGACAACUGGUUGAUAUUCCAGUACCACUACCAUCGUUAUUAUCGAUGGCGUGACGCAGGAGGAUAGUGUGUGCUAGCUAUUGGAUGCUAGUCUAAGCGUUUAGGCAGUGAGAGUAGGCAAAUCCGCUCUCAUAAUGCUGAGGCGUG